AGUCGACGGUGACACGGAGCUUGCUCUGUGGGAUCAGUGGCGAACGGGUGAGUAACACGUGAGCAACCUGCCCCUGACUCUGGGAUAAGCGCUGGAAACGGCGUCUAAUACUGGAUAUGUGACGUGACCGCAUGGUCUGCGUCUGGAAAGAAUUUCGGUUGGGGAUGGGCUCGCGGCCUAUCAGCUUGUUGGUGAGGUAAUGGCUCACCAAGGCGUCGACGGGUAGCCGGCCUGAGAGGGUGACCGGCCACACUGGGACUGAGACACGGCCCAGACUCCUACGGGAGGCAGCAGUGGGGAAUAUUGCACAAUGGGCGCAAGCCUGAUGCAGCAACGCCGCGUGAGGGACGACGGCCUUCGGGUUGUAAACCUCUUUUAGCAGGGAAGAAGCGAAAGUGACGGUACCUGCAGAAAAAGCGCCGGCUAACUACGUGCCAGCAGCCGCGGUAAUACGUAGGGCGCAAGCGUUAUCCGGAAUUAUUGGGCGUAAAGAGCUCGUAGGCGGUUUGUCGCGUCUGCUGUGAAAUCCGGAGGCUCAACCUCCGGCCUGCAGUGGGUACGGGCAGACUAGAGUGCGGUAGGGGAGAUUGGAAUUCCUGGUGUAGCGGUGGAAUGCGCAGAUAUCAGGAGGAACACCGAUGGCGAAGGCAGAUCUCUGGGCCGUAACUGACGCUGAGGAGCGAAAGGGUGGGGAGCAAACAGGCUUAGAUACCCUGGUAGUCCACCCCGUAAACGUUGGGAACUAGUUGUGGGGUCCAUUCCACGGAUUCCGUGACGCAGCUAACGCAUUAAGUUCCCCGCCUGGGGAGUACGGCCGCAAGGCUAAAACUCAAAGGAAUUGACGGGGACCCGCACAAGCGGCGGAGCAUGCGGAUUAAUUCGAUGCAACGCGAAGAACCUUACCAAGGCUUGACAUAUACGAGAACGGGCCAGAAAUGGUCAACUCUUUGGACACUCGUAAACAGGUGGUGCAUGGUUGUCGUCAGCUCGUGUCGUGAGAUGUUGGGUUAAGUCCCGCAACGAGCGCAACCCUCGUUCUAUGUUGCCAGCACGUAAUGGUGGGAACUCAUGGGAUACUGCCGGGGUCAACUCGGAGGAAGGUGGGGAUGACGUCAAAUCAUCAUGCCCCUUAWGUCUUGGGCUUCACGCAUGCUACAAUGGCCGGUNNAAGNGCUGCAAUACCGCGAGGKGGAGCGAAUCCCAAAAGCCGGUCCCAGUUCGGAUGAGGU
Molecule: ribosomal RNA, 1229 nt
Filed under: Microbacterium sp.
Lineage: Bacteria; Bacillati; Actinomycetota; Actinomycetes; Micrococcales; Microbacteriaceae
Description: bacterial SSU rRNA
Source: RNAcentral